This is a non-coding RNA of Myxocyprinus asiaticus (Chinese sucker), 936 nucleotides long. The record is from the annotation of a RefSeq genome assembly. NCBI's taxonomy places the organism in Eukaryota, Metazoa, Chordata, Actinopteri, Cypriniformes, Catostomidae.
CAUGUCCAAUUCAGGCAUGAGCUCAGAAAAUGGGGCAAUGGGAACAGGUUAAAUGCAUAAAAGGCUUCAGUGGAAUGUGCUUUAGCUAUUCAUUUGAAUGAUUAAUAUACUGUAUAGUUCAUCAUCUACUAGGAGUGUUAUCACACAAGAAAAGACUAAAUAUAUAAUUAUUAAAACAUAAAACAGUUAGAUAGCAAAUAACAAAUAAAUAGCAAAUAAGGUAUAUGCUAAUAAGGAGAAAUUUACAUAACUGAAUAUAUAAUGUACAUUUAGCCCAACAUUAAAUAUAACACAGUUAAAUAAAAUAUGUAGGUUGAAGACAAUGCAACAGAAUGUAUUGAGUCUCACUGUAGCACAGGCUCCUCCCAGGAUUAUGAGUAUACAGCUGUUGUAUCACAAAAAUUCUUAAAGUGGAAUGUUCAGUCUUCAACUCUAGCCUUCAUUUGAGUUGGUGAUUUCAACUGCAAAGCUCAGCAGAUAUAAUGACACAUUGGCACAGAGUUGUUUUCAUCCUUGUCACAUAUUUUUGGAGAUGUAAUUCUGAGGACAAAGUUGAUCAGAAUAUCAGAGUUCAAACAGCUCUUGAAGGUGAAGCUGUAACUAUCAACUGCACAUACAAAACUUCUUAUUCAAACCCAACUCUAUUAUGGUACCAGCAAAAAGUAAAUGGAAUCCCCAAAAACAUGCUGAUGAGAUUUUCUGGAUCUCGCAGCGAUGAUGAAGCAUUCAAGGGGAGAUUUAAUGCUAAACUCAUCGCAUCUUCAUUGUCGGUUCCACUGACAAUCCAGGACCUGCGUGUGUCUGACUCUGCUGUGUACUACUGCGCUCUGCAGCCCACUGUGACUAAAACACAUUCAGCACACAUACAAAAACACUGAGUAAAUUUAACUAUAAUUUUCUCAACAACAUCUGAUGACAUCUACAGCUCAAACAUUC